UUCGCUCUGACCCAUUUCUUUUUCUUGAGACCUAGUAAGCUUACACUAAACCCAGCCUGAUUUGUUAACUUGUUUUAAUUGACGAGUGUUUGUCGGCGAAACAUUUAUAGCUUCUUGGCAGUGAUUGAAUUGUACGAAACUUUAACAGACGAUUCUGAGAGGAAAACUAUUUCCAAAUUCCUAACUGUAACCAGAACUUAUCUUGUGAAGAGCCAAGGAUAUCAGAUUUUAGAGAACAGAAGUAGAGGAUCAUAACGACUUAUUCAAGAAACUACUUCCUAACUUGACUGAUCUAUCAUACCCUAGAUUAUCAGAAUUCAGUGCACAGAAAGACAGGAUCAAACCAACUCAGACAAUUUUAACAAUCUCUCAACAUCAGUGACCGAAUUUUACGAACAUUUAAAAACGGUUCUGAGAGGAAUACUAUUUCCUAAAUCCUAACUGCAAUCUAUCUUGUGGAGACUGAUCUUACCUACUCCAGAAUACGACAGCCAGCACGUCAUUUUAAAGCGAUAAGAUUAAGAGACUCUCGUGGAGUAUAUCAGAUUUCAGUGGACAGAAGUAGAGGA
This is a long non-coding RNA of Bolinopsis microptera, 569 nucleotides long. RefSeq lists it as uncharacterized. The transcript has 6 exons. NCBI's taxonomy places the organism in Eukaryota, Metazoa, Ctenophora, Tentaculata, Lobata, Bolinopsidae. The record is from RefSeq and is a predicted model, not a curated record.